GAGAGAUACGGCCACAGGCGCAUCAAUAACUCACAUUAAUACGAUUCUGCAUUUUUUAUACCAUCUCGUAUGCUAAAUGUUGUUUUCUGUCUUUUCUCAACCAGCUCAAGCUAACUAGGCUUAUUCGGCGAGCAAGCUACACAGAAACAUCUUUGCUGACAGAUACUGUUCCAUCUAAUUCAAAUUACAUAUCCAAAUAAAGCGGACCUCUCCUCUUGGUUGUCUUCUUCUGGCUUGAUGCACCAUCCCUUCAGGGCUCUGCUGAAUUCGCUGGAGCGUGUGUCCACAUAAAAGACAGGGCGAUAAGCUGGCACCCACUCAAGGCUGCACAGCAGAUGGUAAAAAGAAGACCUGGCGUUGACUGGUCUGCCGUUGCUGUCGACGAC
Molecule: long non-coding RNA, 386 nt
Organism: Xiphophorus maculatus (southern platyfish)
Lineage: Eukaryota; Metazoa; Chordata; Actinopteri; Cyprinodontiformes; Poeciliidae
Exons: 4
Source: RefSeq, a predicted model, not a curated record